RNAcentral lists this transfer RNA (73 nucleotides) under Afroamphica africana. RNAcentral describes it as "Amphicarpaea africana tRNA-Glu". Lineage: Eukaryota; Viridiplantae; Streptophyta; Magnoliopsida; Fabales; Fabaceae. The record is from RNAcentral.
UAUAUAAAUAAAUUAUAUAAAUGGGAUUAUAAUAUAUGUACAUCAAUAUAUAUAUAUAUAUAAUUUGCAUAAU